GAAGGGUAUCGGGAUGAGAGG
Molecule: microRNA, 21 nt
Filed under: Brachypodium distachyon (stiff brome)
Lineage: Eukaryota; Viridiplantae; Streptophyta; Magnoliopsida; Poales; Poaceae
Description: bdi-miR7722-3p
Source: miRBase by way of RNAcentral